RNAcentral lists this ribosomal RNA (484 nucleotides) under uncultured bacterium. RNAcentral's name for it is "partial 16S ribosomal RNA". It matches the Rfam family "Bacterial small subunit ribosomal RNA", at positions 28 to 507 of the family's 1533-position model. The record is from RNAcentral.
AUUGAACGCUGGCGGCAUGCUUUACACAUGCAAGUCGAACGGCAGCGCGGGCUUCGGCCUGGCGGCGCGUGGCGAACGGGUGAGUAAUGCAUCGGAACGUGCCCAGUAGUGGGGGAUAGCCCGGCGAAAGCCGGAUUAAUACCGCAUACGACCUGAGGGUGAAAGCGGGGGACCGAAAGGCCUCGCGCUCUUGGAGCGGCCGAUGUCGGGUUAGCUAGUUGGUGGGGUAAAGGCUUACCAAGGCGACGAUCCGUAGCUGGUCUGAGAGGACGACCAGCCACACUGGGACUGAGACACGGCCCAGACUCCUACGGGAGGCAGCAGUGGGGAAUUUUGGACAAUGGGGGCAACCCUGAUCCAGCCAGGCCGCGUGCGGGAAGAAGGCCUUCGGGUUGUAAACCGCUUUUGUUCGGGAAGAAAUCCUCUGGGCUAAUACCCCGGGGGGAUGACGGUACCGGAAGAAUAAGCACCGGCUAACUACGUG